Molecule: ribosomal RNA, 1287 nt
Filed under: Triticum aestivum (bread wheat)
Lineage: Eukaryota; Viridiplantae; Streptophyta; Magnoliopsida; Poales; Poaceae
Description: partial small subunit ribosomal RNA
Source: RNAcentral
AUGCCAAACCGGAAACGUCGCCCAGAGGCGUCUUCCAAUUUGUCUGGCGGUUCAUCAACCACACAACUACCUCCCCUGAAAACCCUCCCUGGUGCCAAAGCUCGCCUGAGCAAGAAGGCUAAAACCAGUAACCCCAUUGGAGAAGUUGAACCGGAGAGGGCUGCUGAGGACACCGGUAGAAAUACCGAUGUUAUGGAUGAUUCCAUCCCGCAAGGUGCAAACACUGAAACUAAUCCGCCAGAGGCUGACCCGGCAAUCCAUACUAAACCGCCAAGUCCUCGUACUACACCUCCACCAAGUCCGGCCGCUGAUCCGCCAAGCCCGGCUGCUAACCCGCCAAAUCUAGCCAGGGGUGCCAGUAAUCCACCGAGCCCACCAAGAAAUGAUGAUGAUGAUGUUGUAAUUACUGGCACGGGUCACACCAGCCCUGGCAAUCCGGUUAUCUUGGACAAGCAUACUGCUAAAGAGGAAUUUGCCACUAUGGGCAAGGGGAAGGAGAAGACGGAUUUAUCCCACUAUGUCAAUCUUAGCGCUGAAGAACUUCAUUCCGGUUUUUUAAACCGCCUCUACACCAGCUGUGACUUGGAAGCCGGCUUGGUAAACCUGAUGAAGGAGCAUUAUGAGGAUGACAUGAAGACCAAGGAGUCCCAAACCGCCGAUCUCCAAGAAAUCCUCAAGCUACAGCAAGAAGAAACCUCUAAAGCCAAAGAAGAGCUCAAGGGUGCCUUGGCAACCAUGGAAAAACUUAAAGAGGGCUUCAAAACAGACCGCACCAACUGGGAAACUAAAAGGGUUGUUUUAUUAAAGCGGGCAGAAGAUGCUGAAGCAGCCCUUAAACCGGUGGAAGAAGAGCUGACGGGUCUGAAGCAUCAAGUGAACUCCAUGAUGGCUGUCGUGUUUGGCCAUCGCAUUGCUCAUCUUGGAACAGAUAUGCGGAUGAAAUUGAAGGCGUCUUAUACACUGAUUGAACAACUGUACAUCGGUGAACAACGGUUUACCUCUACAGUCUCUUAUAACAAACUGGCACCAACACUGAUCAAAGACACAUUAGCAGGAUUAUCCAUGACACCAGCUCAGAUAGAAGAGAGGAAGCGGUCUGCUGCUAGGGCUGGCGUUUUACUGGCACUGACCCAGGCCAAAGCAUGGAUAUCCGACUUGGAUCCGGUUGACAUUGCCAAGGGAUUCCCAGAUGAACAGGCAGACGGAUCAGCAUUUGAUAAUGACACACUUAAAGCUCUGACAAAAGAGAUGCGUCCACUCUCCAGUCAAACUGGCUGCAGAAGCUAA